RNAcentral lists this ribosomal RNA (441 nucleotides) under uncultured bacterium. RNAcentral describes it as "partial 16S ribosomal RNA". It matches the Rfam family "Bacterial small subunit ribosomal RNA", at positions 338 to 795 of the family's 1533-position model. The record is from RNAcentral.
CCUACGGGAGGCAGCAGUGGGGAAUAUUGCACAAUGGGGGAAACCCUGAUGCAGCGACGCCGCGUGAGUGAAGAAGUAUUUCGGUAUGUAAAGCUCUAUCAGCAGGGAAGAAGAAAGACGGUACCUGACUCAGCAGCCCCGGCUAACUACGUGCCAGCAGCCGCGGUAAUACGUAGGGGGCAAGCGUUAUCCGGAUUUACUGGGUGUAAAGGGAGCGUAGACGGCUGUGCAAGUCUGAAGUGAAAGCCCAGGGCUCAACCCUGGGACUGCUUUGGAAACUGUGGAGCUAGAGUGCGGGAGAGGUAAGUGGAAUUCCUAGUGUAGCGGUGAAAUGCGUAGAUAUUAGGAGGAACACCAGUGGCGAAGGCGGCUUACUGGACAGUAACUGACGUUGAGGCUCGAAAGCGUGGGGAGCAAACAGGAUUAGAUACCCUGGUAGUC